Choloepus didactylus (southern two-toed sloth) is the source of this 1894-nucleotide long non-coding RNA. RefSeq lists it as uncharacterized. The record is from RefSeq and is a predicted model, not a curated record. NCBI's taxonomy places the organism in Eukaryota, Metazoa, Chordata, Mammalia, Pilosa, Megalonychidae. The transcript is spliced from 3 exons.
CCCCCCAGCCGCCAUCUCUUUUCUGGCGCUAGAUCUGGAUUCUUUCCAUACUCUGUGUGGGUCUCUUUGAGCCCCUCUCCCGGAGGCAACUUGCCUUCCUACCCUCGAGGUAGACUUUUCUCUCUAGGCCCGGAGUGGUGGUGGGGGGGUUAUUUCCACUGUCGCACUGCUGAAGCGUCCCCAGCCUACAAUUUCCGGCUCCAAAAUGGACGGAAAGCAGAGAGGAGGGGGUGCAGAGAAAGCUGGCCCGGGUACCCCCGCCUCCGCCCAAUGGCCGCUGCACCCGCCCCCCAAGCCGGUUUCUCACCGUCUGCUCUAUCUACAUUUGGGCUACCUUUCCUCGAACUCUCCCCAUCCGUACCCGUCCUCCCUCCCUCAUUCCAGUUCCGCAGGAAGCGACGAAAGCCUUCACGCUGACCUGAAAGAACCUGAAGCAACAAUGAAGAGUCCAGGGACGCCAGCGGUCAGCGUUUAGGCCCACAGCGGGAAGGGCGAGCUUGAGGACUGGAGCCUACGUCGCAGCCAGGCACGUCACGAGGUGGCCUGAAGAGUGAAGGUGUUUUGCUUUUAGCAAAGGCGACUUCGGGAUGGCUGUGCAGUGACGUUUCCUAUAUUGACAAGCCGGCGCAUCGCAGUUGCCGUGGAAACAUGACGUCAAUCUGGCGACCAUGAGGACGUUUUAAUAGAGACUGACUUAGUCUGCUCUUCGUGCGGGUGGCUGGACUCAUACCACGUGACUCCAGGGGGCGGGUUUUGAGGAUCUCUGUCCGGAUUGGUGCUGCUUGUACUCAAGAUUCGAAGGACAGCAGUCCUUAGGAGACCCCGACCCUUCGCUUUCCUGGUGGGAUAUGAUGCCUGGCUCAAGUGAGUUCGUAGAGUUGAACAAAAGCAUGUUGUGGAAUUGCUCCUGUAACAUCCACACAAGGUAGAGAAGCUACUAUAAUCUUAUCACUGGGGAACAGGUUUAGCAGAUGAAAUUUCAUUUCAUCAGCAGCUGAAUGCUUUGUAGUAACCCUGGAGGCCCCAUCUUAGAGAUGCCUUCUUUUGUCUGAAAGCAAUAAAUAGUCCAGCCUGAGAAAGGAACUUGAUCUUUAAUGUGCAUCUGCCUAAAUUUACGUAUCUUUUUCUGACUGUAUAAAUAAUCUUCAGUGAGUUCUAGGUUUCUCUCAGAUGGGUGUUGAAAUAUACAGUUGUUUAGAAGGCCUUCUUAGCAAUUUGAGAUUGUGAUACAAAUUCUCCCUAGUAGCCAUGUUUUUAUCCAUUCUGUGAUGAAAUUUUUUUGAGAAGUCAGAAAAUUUCUAAGUGUUAGUCUAACAUGUACAUUGCAAUUUAGUAUUUUCAAAAAUAAUAAUUAACCUGGAGUUUCCACAUGGUAAUGAUUCCCAAUCACAUUCCCUAAAAUAACCAGAUACUCUUAAAUAACAUUAUGACUAUUAUCCCAGGACAUAACAUUUUCAAUUCUGUACUUUACAAGGAGAGUGGGCAUCAACUUCCCCUAAUAUUUAGAGAUAACUCAUUGCAAAGAAUUAUUUCUCUUUUGAUCCUAUGUAUAUGGACCAAUUUUAUAAGAUAUGCUGUAUACCUGCUAAUAUGACAAAUGCAUAUUAAUGGGAAUUGUACUCCUUAAUGAUUAGAAGUUUGAAAAGUACAAAUAUAUUUCAAAUGCUUUAUUGAGGUAUGAGUGUCAUAAACGCACUGCACAUAUAUAAAAUUUAUGCUUUAAUAGGUUUUAAUCUAUCAUAUGCAUGAUACCAAAACUCCAGUCAAGAUAAAGAACAUAUCAAUUACCCCCAACAGCUUCCUCAUGAACCUUGAUAAUCCCUCCAACUACCUGACUCCAGCCUCCUUCCUUCCCCUUACUGUGCCCCAUUCCCAAGCAACCACUAAUUUAUUC